Molecule: ribosomal RNA, 403 nt
Filed under: uncultured bacterium
Lineage: Bacteria
Description: partial 16S ribosomal RNA
Rfam family: Bacterial small subunit ribosomal RNA
Source: RNAcentral
GACGAACGCUGGCGGCGUGCCUAAUACAUGCAAGUCGAACGCAGUGGGGACGGGUGAGUAACACGUGGGUAACCUCCCAUCAGAGGGGAUAACACUUGGAAACAGGUGCUAAACCGAUACUGAUGGAUGGACCCGCGGUGCAUUAGCUAGUUGGUGAGGUAACGGCGCACAAAGGCCACGAUGCAUAGCCGACCAGAGAGGGUGAUCGUCCACACGGUGAAGGAGACACGGCCCAGACGCCUACGGGAGGCAGCAGUAGGGAAUCUGCGGCAAUGGACGAAAGUCUGACCGAGCAACGCCGCGUGAGUGAAGAAGGGUGUCGGAUCGUAAGACUCUGGUGUUAGAGAAGCGGUAUCUAACCAGAAAGCCACGGCUAACUACGUGCCAGCAGCCGCGGUAAUUC